UCAUAUACCUUUUGCAUAAUGGAUUAACAAAAAUUAAGUAAAUUCAUUUUCACGAAAGGAAGAGAGCUAAACAUAAUAUCUAUUAGCCUUAUAAUACGUAGUAGAGUAUUAUUAUAAUAUAUGUUUAGGGGUGAUAGGCCUUCCAAGCUUCCUUAUAACUUGUUCCAUAUGAAAAGUAUUUAGUACUAAAACAUACUUUAAAAGUUAAGCUUUAAAGUAAUUAUUAAAAAUAAUCUCUCUAUUUAAUAUAGUAUAAUAGCUAGUUAAUAUAAAACUUAAUAUAAUUUAUGUAUUUUUAUAGUUAAUAAUAUGGUUGUACUAUUUGAUUUAGCACUAGAAAAUGUUAAUAUUAGUAUUUUGAAAAGUAUGUUAAAGGAACUCGGCAAAAUAACCGCUCAACUGUUUAUCAAAAACAUAGCUAUAUGAUUUAAUAUAUAGUUAUUUCUGCUCCAUGAUAAUUAAAUAGCCGCAGUACCCUGACUGUGCAAAGGUAGCAUAAUCAGUUGGCUUUUAAUUAGAGUCUGGUAUGAAUGAAAAUAUGGGUGGUAACUGUCUCUGACAUAUUAAUUUGAACUUUUUUAGCAAGUGCAAAUACUUGCGAGGGUAAAAAAGACGAGAAGACCCUAGAAACUUGAAGUAGUUUUUGUUGGGGCGACAAAAUUACAUUUAACUGAUUGUAUAAAACAUGACAUUUAUUUGCAAGAAUAAGUUACUCUAGGGAUAACAGCAUAAUUUUAACAGUUUGUGACCUCGAUGUUGGAUUAGGUAUUAUAUUCUUAAGGUAAGAAUAUAAAAUGCUCUGUUCGAGCAGUUUCACCUACAUGAUCUGAGUUCAGACCGG
RNAcentral lists this ribosomal RNA (841 nucleotides) under Helix ceratina. RNAcentral describes it as "Tyrrhenaria ceratina partial large subunit ribosomal RNA". The record is from RNAcentral. Lineage: Eukaryota; Metazoa; Mollusca; Gastropoda; Stylommatophora; Helicidae.